UAGGGAAUCUUCCACAAUGGGCGCAAGCCUGAUGCAGCGACGCCGCGUGAGUGAAGAAGUAAUUCGUUACGUAAAGCUCUAUCAGCAGGGAAGAAAAAGAAAUGACGGUACCUGAGUAAGAAGCCCCGGCUAACUACGUGCCAGCAGCCGCGGUAAUACGUAGGGGGCAAGCGUUAUCCGGAUUUACUGGGUGUAAAGGGAGCGUAGACGGCAGCGCAAGUCUGAAGUGAAAUCCCGGGGCUCAACCCCGGAACUGCUUUGGAAACUGUGCAGCUGGAGUGCAGGAGAGGUAAGCGGAAUUCCUAGUGUAGCGGUGAAAUGCGUAGAUAUUAGGAGGAACACCGGUGGCGAAGGCGGCUUACUGGACUGUAACUGACGUUGAGGCUCGAAAGCGUGGGGAGCAAACAGG
RNAcentral lists this ribosomal RNA (409 nucleotides) under uncultured bacterium. Its description in RNAcentral is "bacterial SSU rRNA". It matches the Rfam family "Bacterial small subunit ribosomal RNA", at positions 355 to 776 of the family's 1533-position model. The record is from RNAcentral.